This is a long non-coding RNA of Saccostrea echinata, 434 nucleotides long. RefSeq lists it as uncharacterized. The record is from RefSeq and is a predicted model, not a curated record. The transcript is spliced from 3 exons. Lineage: Eukaryota; Metazoa; Mollusca; Bivalvia; Ostreida; Ostreidae.
GCAGAUAUUACAGGUAGUCUUGUCCCAUGAUCCCUUGCACUUCGUUAUUGGGGUCAUGUAACGGCUGUAUCAAUGUUUAAUGGCGGCGCCCAUGACGCAUCUAAACGUGCGAAAUUCGUAGCCUGUGGAAAAAAAUGGAAAGUCAUCGAAUACACAAUUUUUCAUAUAAACUGCUUGAUUAAAGUCUGAAAAAUAUGCUUUCUGAAGAUAUUCAUUCCUGAAGCCAAAGAAGUGCCAUAAACUGGAGCCAAUGUAUUUUGGAAUGAUUCUGCUCGAAAACUUUAUGAACCCUGUGGAUCAUCUGUAACUGGAAUUUUAAUAAAGAUUUUUAUACUGGUCAUCACUGGUCACUACUGUAAGGACACAUGAAAGAAGAAUGGUGUUGCAGCUUUAUCUAUAACUUGUCUAUAAGCUGUAAUAAAGUAUUAAAUCUG